Molecule: unclassified non-coding RNA, 259 nt
Filed under: Hevea brasiliensis (rubber tree)
Lineage: Eukaryota; Viridiplantae; Streptophyta; Magnoliopsida; Malpighiales; Euphorbiaceae
Source: RNAcentral
GAUGAAUUCUGCAACGAAAUCCAGAAUAGACUAAAGGAUGCAAUGGUAUGGGUGGAAGCCUUGAUCCCUUUUGAUAAAGGGGAACUCCUCAGUACGAUACAUCAAGUCGGAAUGGUUGAGAGAACUGAAUACUCUGAGAAAGGAACUCUUGUGAGAGCACAUGUUCCCCUCCGAUUUGCAAGGCUUCUAACUCCUAUGAGGCAAAUGUGUGUAUCAUAAUUGCUUCAAGUCACCAAAAUACAUAUACUUGAAGUGCAAC